Leopardus geoffroyi (Geoffroy's cat) is the source of this 2488-nucleotide long non-coding RNA. RefSeq lists it as uncharacterized. The transcript has 6 exons. The record is from RefSeq and is a predicted model, not a curated record. Lineage: Eukaryota; Metazoa; Chordata; Mammalia; Carnivora; Felidae.
CCUAAGAACCUCUGGAGGGGGCUGGGCUGGGGGGGAAACCAGGGUGAGCCUCCCACUUGAGACCACUCGUUCUAAGGCCAAGGAAGGCCUGGGUGUCCCCUCAGGAGAUGGCAGCUUCCUUUUUCCAUCCACACCCUGGGUGGAGGUGGGCAGCUGGGCAUUUGAAAUGGGGGCCAGGCUGUGGAUUACACGUAGAAUCUAGGGUCCAGAACCCAGACUUUCUGCGCUCUGCCCCCUCAACUCCAUCACUUUAGUACGGAGAAGUUAGUCUCAUCUUGACUGGUGAAGCACAUGAGUUGAUCACUCCCGUGAAGGUCACAUCCCACCUCCACCUCCAGCAAGUACCCUUUCCUGAAUCACUGAGACCUGAAUUUGGACCCGUUUCCUCCAUCUGGUAGGCAGAUGACUCUGGAGAGUCAGGUAACACACUUGGGUCUCAGCACCUUCUGGAAUGCUUAGUCACAAAUGCUGCAGAGAUUAAAUGCGGAUAUGUAUGUAAAGUACCUAACAGUGUCGGUCCCAUAAUAGGUGCUCAAAAUGGACAAGUGUCAUUAUUUAUUGUUACUUAGGCAUAGGCUAAUUCUGAGUUCUGAACCAACUGUUUCAUCAGCUCACAGUGUGGUCCUGACAAGCCACUUCCCUUCAGCCUCAGUUUCCUCCAUAAAACCAAAGGAUGGAUUAGAAUGAUCUUAACUGUCCUUCCAGGGCUAACGUUGCCCGAUUCUAGAUUCCCAGAAAAGGACAGAAGGGAAGCAAAGAUAGUCACAAAAAAUAAGACGCUAAAAGGAAUUACAGGUGUCACAGGACACAAGAGGAGCCAGGCUGAAGGGUUCCUGGUGGCCAAAUCGGGCAGUUUGAGCAUCAAAAUAAUUAGGUACUGUAAUGAAUUAAAACCAUUACAAAAACAGUAACUCAAAGUCGGAAGUAAAUGAGAUCGUGAGGAGGGCUCUUGCUUGUACCAGAAUGCCGAGGGCCAGACGGUUAAAUGUGGAAUGAGUGCUGAAGUCGGAAAAUCGUGAUUUUCACAGUAAAGAUUCCAUCAGUGGGUGCUAAAUCCAGGGAGAAAUUUUGAUGAAGAGCAGAACAUUUGCAUUGUCUUCAAGAGUCUCCCCAUGGACUGCUUACAAGUUACAAGGUAGAAAAAAACCCAACCAAACAAAACCCAGUAAUUACGAAGUGGAGAAACGGGGCAGGGUCUUCACUGACUGAUCAAAAUUAACAUCGCCAAUAAGGGACAGAUGGAUAGCACACGCCUUCAGAUGUGAUACCCUGAAGGAGACACAUCACCGAAGUCACGUAGGAUCCAUGAAAAACCAGGGAAGUCUAAGAACUGGCCUACACCACAGAAGCCUGGAGAGCCGUGACGACUCAGUGCUGAGCGUGUGGUGCCACGGAAGUGAGGAUGCAGAGGAAGAAGGAUGAAGGAAGGGGAGAAGAAUAUUCUUUGAGUACCAGCUGUGUUCCAGGCACUGUUCUAGGUGCUGGGAGGUCAAUCGUUGUCCACACGGAAGUUGCUGGGGGGAAGGGCUGCCUGACAAAAGCAAACCAAUAGAGAAGUACACGAUGAUUCCAGGCCACAUCCCCAUCCUGACCUGGUACUUCCUGUGACCACCAACAGGCUGGAAUUCUGGGCUCAUCCCGAGACCAGGGUUCAAGAAACUGGCUGCUCAGAGCCUCAGACUGUACCGCCACCCCACGCCCAUGGGGAGGUCUCCCGUGUGGCCAGCCUGCCGGCAAGGGACAGGAUGCAGGACUUUCUGCAAAGUUCUCUCCUCUGUGACCUCUUGUGGGAUCGAAAGUAAGGCCACCAAUAGUGGGACACUAGACAUCUCACUCACUCGGCCUGGAGGGCUGCUCCGACAAGGACACAGCAUGUCGUCCGUGCUACGCCUGCUAAAAACACUUACCGUCAAUUUAAUCAGGCGGAAACAGCAGACAGACCCAAAUUGAGGGAUGUCCUGCAAGACGACUGGCCUGGGCUUGCAAAUUUGUAAACAAGAAGUUUGGAGGAAAGCCCUGCGGGGCUGUCAUUGGAAGCCUCCAGUGUGCCUCCCCAAGGCCUGGGGCGCAAGCCCGGAGUCAUAGGCUCAAGGGGAGUCUCCCACACACCCUCUGCCUGAUUACAGUUCACACUCCGCAUGCCCCAUGGGGCCCUCUGUGUUCCCUACGGUCUAGAGGCCAGCACAUAUGUAUUCAGCACCCACCCCCUGCCAGCACCCACUCCCCCCCUCCCUAGACGAGGCGCGGACACCUGAAGACGGGGUCCCUGCGUUUCCAGUGCACACGGUUCAUGGGAGUCAGCUCGCAUCACUGCAGAGUCUGUUGUGGCUACAGGACCCAAAGACUCACAGCCAGAUUGCAGGGGUCCAGGGCAAGGCGGAAGCAGACGUUGUCACGGCGGCAGCUCUGUGAACUGGGAGCUCUGGGUGUUACAGUGUCACCUCCUCACAGUGGCUGACCACGCGGGAGGGAUGUUCUGCUCGUGUGU